GGGUUGUGGGAAUUUUGAUGUGUCGUCUCCGGACGGGCGGUGCAGGGUAGUCAAGUUAGACUUGGUGGAAUUCCGUCGAUAGGAGUUCCGUCGAGUCUGGUCGGCUGUGUGUUGGACGGUGUAGGGUAGGCUGCUUGGACAUGGUCGGUUCGAGGAUCGAUUCGAGGGCCGGCCUGUCGAUGAUGUGUGAUGUAUGCGGUCUAGGGUAGGUUGGUUUGUCUUGGUUCGAUUUGUUGUCGGCUCCUGUGCAGGCCAGAGUGAGGGGGGUCCAGGGUAGGUACAGGGUAGGCAGCUUAGAUUUGGUCGAUCUGGAGGUCGAUUCUCCGGCUGGCGGAUCUGACACUGUCGAAACGAGAUGCGAGCGGUGUAGGGUAGGCUAGUUUCGUACUUGCCAGGUUGCGAUUUGGACGAGAUAUGUGGUUUAGGGUAGGCUCUAGGGUAAGUAGAAUUCGAGUUUCGUCGCCGAUAGUUUUCUGUGGGUGUAUGGUAGGUACAGGGUAGGCAAAUCUCUCUCCGGCCAGUACUUGUCUCGUGGUCGUGAGUCGAUUUUUUUGUUUUGCCAUACUAUUG
RNAcentral lists this unclassified non-coding RNA (570 nucleotides) under Fusarium oxysporum f. sp. niveum. RNAcentral's name for it is "partial contains large subunit ribosomal RNA and 28S-18S ribosomal RNA intergenic spacer". Lineage: Eukaryota; Fungi; Ascomycota; Sordariomycetes; Hypocreales; Nectriaceae. The record is from RNAcentral.